GCUCUCUGGCAGAGCGGAAUGGGUAAGGGAAAGCAGCCAGCGGGACUUGGGGGACGGAUUCAACUCACCCAGGACGAGGUGGCCGCCCGUCGGAGCAAGAAGGCACACGGGAGACCACCGACUCCAGAAGCAGAGGACAUUUCGGAAUGAAACAGAAAGUCACUCCGGGAUCCAAACCCGACCCUGGACUGCCCUUGGCCGCCCCCAGCCCUGCCAGGGAAGAGGGAAGACUCUGCCUGCCCCUCCCAGCUCCUGAGUGAGGAUUCCCUGAAGGAAAGUGCAGUGCAAAAGUCUCCACUCCAGGGCCCAGCUUUUUCACUUCUUGUUCUUCUUCCUCUCCCUCUUCUGCUUUUUUGAAUAUUUGUUCAGCUUUUUAACAUGCGGUUUGUCUCCUUCUGCAGGGAAUUAUUCAGUGAUCCCAUGACCUGACUCCCCUAGCCCUUAUGUAAUUCCAAUUGUGCCCUUUGAGUUCUGAUCAGAAAGCUGCACUUGCCUCCUGGGAGGGACCCAGUGCCCCCCAGAGGAGGGGAGGGAGAAGUGAGAGGGAGAGACACUCAAAACAGCAAACAGUGACAAUUAACCGUUCUAGGACCUUCCCUAGGGGCUGCUUUAUGCAGUGUGCUUGUAUUUCCCCCAGUUUGAUUCUCCUUCCUAAAUGCCAGGUGUAACAAGAGCCACUUCCUGGACUUUCUGUGCAUCCCAUAAGCCCCUGGGUGGAUUUUCCAAUGAUGGGGGUCUCGAGAGUUGAAAAGCCUGGUGUAGAUUUAUAACACAGGUAUAAACAGAACUUAAAACCUAUAACACUUAUAAUUGUCGCCAGGUAUCUGAAUUCUGUGAUGUGCCAAAGGACAACUUGGGUUGAGGGCCUGUAGCCAAACCUCCUGCCUCACCUUUGAUCCUCAUAAGCCCUCCCCAGGCCACCUCAGAUAAACAUAUCCAAGUCAAAAUUGCUUGCAUGCUGUGCAAACAUCCUUAAAAGCCAAGCUCCCCCCCUGAACUUCCAACCAUGUCAUAGUCCCUGGGGCCAGUUGAGUGGACAUUUUGAAGCUACCACCAUUUUGGGUGAAGGAAAUGAGACUCACUGCCUUUGGUCUUGAGUUUCCUGGCUCAGCAUCUGUGAUCUGUCCAAAUGACACCUAUUGAGGGUUCAAACAUAGAACUGGCCCAUGAAUGAGAAACUCUUGGAGAAACUGAAAUGGCAAUAAAUGAGCAGAAUACUGAAAGCCUCCUGAAAUGUGAGGAUCAAGUUUAAAAA
Heterocephalus glaber (naked mole-rat) is the source of this 1255-nucleotide non-coding RNA. Lineage: Eukaryota; Metazoa; Chordata; Mammalia; Rodentia; Bathyergidae. The record is from RefSeq and is a predicted model, not a curated record.